GACGAACGCUGGCGGCGUGCUUAACACAUGCAAGUCGAACGGAAAGGCCCUGCUUUUGUGGGGUGCUCGAGUGGCGAACGGGUGAGUAACACGUGAGUAACCUGCCCUUGACUUUGGGAUAACUUCAGGAAACUGGGGCUAAUACCGGAUAGGAUCUCCUGCUGCAUGGUGGGGGUUGGAAAGUUUCGGCGGUUGGGGAUGGACUCGCGGCUUAUCAGCUUGUUGGUGGGGUAGUGGCUUACCAAGGCUUUGACGGGUAGCCGGCCUGAGAGGGUGACCGGCCACAUUGGGACUGAGGUACGGCCCAGACUCGUACGGGCGGCAGCAGUGGGGAGUAUUGCACAAUGGGCGGAAGCGUGAUGCAGCAGCGUCGCGUGCGGGAUGACGGGCUUCGGGUUGUAAACCGCUUUAGCAUGUGACGAAGCGUGAGUGACGGUAAUGUGUAAAGAAGCACCGGCUAACUACGUG
Molecule: ribosomal RNA, 468 nt
Filed under: uncultured bacterium
Lineage: Bacteria
Description: partial 16S ribosomal RNA
Rfam family: Bacterial small subunit ribosomal RNA
Source: RNAcentral